RNAcentral lists this ribosomal RNA (511 nucleotides) under uncultured bacterium. Its description in RNAcentral is "partial 16S ribosomal RNA". It matches the Rfam family "Bacterial small subunit ribosomal RNA", at positions 27 to 507 of the family's 1533-position model. The record is from RNAcentral.
GGACGAACGCUGGCGGCGUGCUUAACACAUGCAAGUCGAACGAAGAGCGAUGGAAGCUUGCUUCUAUCAAUCUUAGUGGCGAACGGGUGAGUAACGCGUAAUCAACCUGCCCUUCAGAGGGGGACAACAGUUGGAAACGACUGCUAAUACCGCAUACGAUCUAAUCUCGGCAUCGAGGAUAGAUGAAAGGUGGCCUCUACAUGUAAGCUAUCACUGAAGGAGGGGAUUGCGUCUGAUUAGCUAGUUGGAGGGGUAACGGCCCACCAAGGCGAUGAUCAGUAGCCGGUCUGAGAGGAUGAACGGCCACAUUGGGACUGAGACACGGCCCAGACUCCUACGGGAGGCAGCAGUGGGGAAUCUUCCGCAAUGGACGGAAGUCUGACGGAGCAACGCCGCGUGAGUGAUGACGGCCUUCGGGUUGUAAAGCUCUGUUAAUCGGGACGAAAGGCCUUCUUGCGAAUAGUGAGAAGGAUUGACGGUACCGGAAUAGAAAGCCACGGCUAACUACGUG